This 411-nucleotide ribosomal RNA is filed under the name Babesia microti. RNAcentral describes it as "SSU rRNA". It matches the Rfam family "Eukaryotic small subunit ribosomal RNA", at positions 453 to 887 of the family's 1831-position model. Lineage: Eukaryota; Apicomplexa; Aconoidasida; Piroplasmida; Babesiidae. The record is from RNAcentral.
GACACAGGGAGGUAGUGACAAGAAAUAACAAUACAGGGCUUAAAGUCUUGUAAUUGCGAAUGUAUAGGGAAUCUAAACCCUUCCCAGAGUAUCAAUUGGAGGGCAAGUCUGGUGCCAGCAGCCGCGGUAAUUCCAGCUCCAAUAGCGUAUAUUAAAGUUGUUGCAGUUAAGAAGCUCGUAGUUGAAUUUCUGCCUUGUCAUUAAUCUCGCUUCCGAGCGUUUUUUUAUUGACUUGGCAUCUUCUGGAUUUGGUGCCUUCGGGUACUAUUUUCCAGGAUUUACUUUGAGAAAACUAGAGUGUUUCAAACAGGCAUUCGCCUUGAAUACUACAGCAUGGAAUAAUGAAGUAGGACUUUGGUUCUAUUUUGUUGGUUAUUGAGCCAGAGUAAUGGUUAAUAGGAGCAGUUGGGG